GGGGGCGUAGCUCAGUUGGGAGAGCGCUAGAAUCGCAAUCUAGAGGUCAGGGGUUCGACUCCCCUCGUCUCCACCA
Molecule: transfer RNA, 76 nt
Filed under: Bacillota bacterium
Lineage: Bacteria; Bacillati; Bacillota
Description: tRNA-Ala
Rfam family: tRNA
About the family: Transfer RNA (tRNA) molecules are approximately 80 nucleotides in length. Their secondary structure includes four short double-helical elements and three loops (D, anti-codon, and T loops). Further hydrogen bonds mediate the characteristic L-shaped molecular structure. tRNAs have two regions of fundamental functional importance: the anti-codon, which is responsible for specific mRNA codon recognition, and the 3' end, to which the tRNAs corresponding amino acid is attached (by aminoacyl-tRNA synthetases). tRNAs cope with the degeneracy of the genetic code in two manners: having more than one tRNA (with a specific anti-codon) for a particular amino acid; and 'wobble' base-pairing, i.e. permitting non-standard base-pairing at the 3rd anti-codon position.
Source: RNAcentral